UAAUGUAUGGGGAUCUGCCCGAUAGAGGGGGAUAACUACUGGAAACGGUGGCUAAUACCGCAUAAUGUCUACGGACCAAAGCAGGGGCUCUUCGGACCUUGCACUAUCGGAUGAACCCAUAUGGGAUUAGCUAGUAGGUGGGGUAAAGGCUCACCUAGGCGACGAUCUCUAGCUGGUCUGAGAGGAUGAUCAGCCACAUUGGGACUGAGACACGGCCCAG
This 220-nucleotide ribosomal RNA is filed under the name uncultured bacterium. RNAcentral describes it as "partial 16S ribosomal RNA". It matches the Rfam family "Bacterial small subunit ribosomal RNA", at positions 111 to 334 of the family's 1533-position model. The record is from RNAcentral.